Molecule: ribosomal RNA, 788 nt
Filed under: uncultured Lactobacillus sp.
Lineage: Bacteria; Bacillati; Bacillota; Bacilli; Lactobacillales; Lactobacillaceae
Description: bacterial SSU rRNA
Rfam family: Bacterial small subunit ribosomal RNA
Source: RNAcentral
GACGAACGCUGGCGGCGUGCCUAAUACAUGCAAGUCGAGCGAGCUUGCCUAGAUGAAUUUGGUGCUUGCACCAAAUGAAACUAGAUACAAGCGAGCGGCGGACGGGUGAGUAACACGUGGGUAACCUGCCCAAGAGACUGGGAUAACACCUGGAAACAGAUGCUAAUACCGGAUAACAACACUAGACGCAUGUCUAGAGUUUAAAAGAUGGUUCUGCUAUCACUCUUGGAUGGACCUGCGGUGCAUUAGCUAGUUGGUAAGGUAACGGCUUACCAAGGCAAUGAUGCAUAGCCGAGUUGAGAGACUGAUCGGCCACAUUGGGACUGGGACACGGCCCAAACUCCUACGGGAGGCAGCAGUAGGGAAUCUUCCACAAUGGACGCAAGUCUGAUGGAGCAACGCCGCGUGAGUGAAGAAGGGUUUCGGCUCGUAAAGCUCUGUUGGUAGUGAAGAAAGAUAGAGGUAGUAACUGGCCUUUAUUUGACGGUAAUUACUUAGAAAGUCACGGCUAACUACGUGCCAGCAGCCGCGGUAAUACGUAGGUGGCAAGCGUUGUCCGGAUUUAUUGGGCGUAAAGCGAGUGCAGGCGGUUCAAUAAGUCUGAUGUGAAAGCCUUCGGCUCAACCGGAGAAUUGCAUCAGAAACUGUUGAACUUGAGUGCAGAAGAGGAGAGUGGAACUCCAUGUGUAGCGGUGGAAUGCGUAGAUAUAUGGAAGAACACCAGUGGCGAAGGCGGCUCUCUGGUCUGCAACUGACGCUGAGGCUCGAAAGCAUGGGUAGCGAACAGG